This is an unclassified non-coding RNA of Callithrix jacchus (white-tufted-ear marmoset), 149 nucleotides long. It matches the Rfam family "Metazoan signal recognition particle RNA". From Rfam's summary of the family: The signal recognition particle (SRP) is a universally conserved ribonucleoprotein. It is involved in the co-translational targeting of proteins to membranes. The eukaryotic SRP consists of a 300-nucleotide 7S RNA and six proteins: SRPs 72, 68, 54, 19, 14, and 9. NCBI's taxonomy places the organism in Eukaryota, Metazoa, Chordata, Mammalia, Primates, Cebidae. The record is from Ensembl.
GCUGGGCACGGUGGCGCGUGCCUGUAAUCCCAGCUACUUGGGAGGCUGAGGCAGGAGAAUUGCCUGAACCCAGGAGGCGGAGGUUGCGGUGAGCCGAGAUGGCGCCAUUGCACUCCAGCCUGGGUAACAAGAGCGAGACUCCGCCUCAA